UACGUAGGCAGCAAGCGUUGUUCGGAAUUACUGGGCGUAAAGAGUGUGUAGGCGGUGCUCUAAGUCUGGUGUGAAAUCUCCCGGCUCAACUGGGAGGGUGCGCCGGAAACUGGAGUGCUCGAGUGUGGGAGAGGUAAGCGGAAUUCCUGGUGUAGCGGUGAAAUGCGUAGAUAUCAGGAGGAACACCGGUGGCGAAGGCGGGUCUCUGGGCCGAAAUUGACGCUGAGGAGCGAAAGCGUGGGGAGCAAACAGG
RNAcentral lists this ribosomal RNA (253 nucleotides) under uncultured bacterium. Its description in RNAcentral is "partial 16S ribosomal RNA". It matches the Rfam family "Bacterial small subunit ribosomal RNA", at positions 524 to 776 of the family's 1533-position model. The record is from RNAcentral.